AAUGACUUGUCAUACCACCCUGAAUACGCCCGAUCUCGUCUGAUCGCGGAAGCUAAGCAGGGUUGGGCCUGGUUAGUACUUGGAUGGGAGACCGCCUGGGAAUACCAGGUGCUGUAAGUG
Molecule: ribosomal RNA, 120 nt
Organism: Gadus morhua (Atlantic cod)
Lineage: Eukaryota; Metazoa; Chordata; Actinopteri; Gadiformes; Gadidae
Source: Ensembl